UACGUAGGGUGCAAGCGUUGUCCGGAAUUAUUGGGCGUAAAGAGCUUGUAGGCGGUUUGUCGCGUCUGCCGUGAAAAUUCGAGGCUCAACCUCGAACUUGCGGUGGGUACGGGCAGACUAGAGUGUGGUAGGGGAGACUGGAAUUCCUGGUGUAGCGGUGAAAUGCGCAGAUAUCAGGAGGAACACCGGUGGCGAAGGCGGGUCUCUGGGCCGAAACUGACGCUGAGGAGCGAAAGCGUGGGGAGCGAACAGG
RNAcentral lists this ribosomal RNA (253 nucleotides) under uncultured bacterium. RNAcentral describes it as "partial 16S ribosomal RNA". It matches the Rfam family "Bacterial small subunit ribosomal RNA", at positions 524 to 776 of the family's 1533-position model. The record is from RNAcentral.